ACGCUGCACGCUCGAAAUUCCUCCAAGGAACCUCUGCGAGCUUUUCUUUUUUCAUCACGCGCGAGCUAAAAAUAGAAACGGGGUUGGAUCGUGAUCCAGAAAUAGAUAGGGGGCAUCACUCCUAUAAAAGGCACACCAUUCAAGAGUACAGUGUGUGCACAGUUUGAAGAAGCGAAAAGCCAGAGCAUAUUUUAUGGAGAAACUGGCUUUUUGUGCCCCUUUCUCUCCUCUGUGGCACUUUUCCUGUUUUUUUCUUUUUUUGACAGGAGGCUCCGCUGCUACAAUGGUUCCUCUCUACGUCACACACACCACGGUGGGGGACGGCAGCAGUGACCCAACCACAGUGACGUCAGCAGGUGGAAUCCACAGGGUGAUGGGGAAACUGUAAAAGGGAAGUAAACAAUAGUUUUUCAUUAUGAUCAGUGUAAACUGCUGUCAACAUGCUCAUGCAGUGUGAACGUGACCCCACUACGCUGCAUUUAUUUUACAUCUUGUGUGUCACCCUGACAAUUUGCUGCAUUUAAAAUCUUCUUCUUUUAGGUCUUCUUCUUCAUCUUCUUUUUGAUCACCUCAUAUUACAAAAAUGGAAAUUCGUCUACGGAACUUUUCCUUAAAAAAAAAAACAAGGCAACAAUAGACUCGCUUAUCACUAUUAUUGGCAAUAAAAACAGGCGUCUACAUAUUAUUUCAAGCUAAGAAUGAGCCAGCCAUGUAAGGAAAUUCUUUUGUUCUAUUCAGCCUCGGCACCACAACAAGGAGAACAUGUCACAACACGACAUUGUGCUGACUAUCAAACAUUCAUAAUAUUUAAGCGUGCAAACACUGGCAGCGCUCUUUGUAACUUAAAGUACUAAAAAUCAUCAGUCUUUAGAUUACUGUGUGUUGUUUGUACACAUCCAGUGACCUGAACACACUUUAGGUGAUAUAUGAUACAGUCCUGAGAGUAUUUAAGAUUUUCUGUAGUCCAACAUGAAUGAAUGACCCCUGUGAAAUACCUGAAUGAGAGUCACCUCACAGGAGAUCUGGCUUGGAGGCCCCUGACCCUUGGGGUCCCUGGGCUCUCAUGUAUGCCCAGGAGCAAUAAGCGAAGCCCCUCCUCAGCUCCAGUGGAGCAGCCCAGCAGCUCACAGAGCAGACAGCUUCUGUUUCGGGAGAGUGAGGAUGUGAUUAAGCCUCACUGCUCCCUGAGACUUCCCCUCCAGGCCAUCCUGUUAAUCAGCUCACCUGCUUAAAGGAGAAGUAAUAACAAUGGCACAAAAGUUAGAACACACACACACACACACACACACACACACACUGGUCAGAAGACAGUCUGUGUCUGUCAUGCAUGGUUUUGUGAGGAGCAGAGUCGUGACAAAAACUUGCUAAAAGGGCAGAAUUAGCAACAACUUGGGCGUAGAAAGACGAUCAGAUUAAAAAUAUCUUUGACCAGUACGAUGCCACUUUUGGAGAAAUCAUAGAAAUACUAAAAUUAUACAUAAACGUACAGAGUUUAGAUCCAGGGAGUAAAGACGUGUUUUCUCUUUCAGGGUCACAUUGUUUGUGUCACAUCAUAUUUGUCCUUGUCCUGUGCAUCAGAAGGUGAUUUGGAGUUUUUUAAAUUUAUUUUUGCAUUUUCAUUUUUGUGUGUGAAGAAACUCACUACACUUUUGCUGAAUGUAUCAAGAUAUGCCAUCUCUUAGUUUUUCUUUCAAUCUGUCCUUUAUUUUAUUUCAUUUAUUUAUUUAUUUGCUGUGACAUUACUAUCACUGUUUCUCUGUGUCAGUGACCACAUCUUUUUCUGAAAAGCAAGAAACACAGAGCAAGACGUGUAUUUGGAGUUAAUGUGCGUCCAUGUUGUAGUGUUACUUUUGCAGGUGUGUGUGUGUGUGUGUGUGUGUGUGUGAGAGAGAGAAGGACCAAUAGAAAGAGAGAAAAGCUUUAGAUUUUUUUUAAAUAAAUACAGUCUGAAAUUAAAUAAGGUGCAUGCAUGUGUCCCUUCAUGUACAAAUAUUUAAAGCAGCCUGCAUUACAUGUGUGUGUUCAAUCUAUAUGAUUAUUUUAUUGAAAUGUUACAGAGACAUUUCUGCACAAGUGUCACCAAGCACCUGUCAGACACACACAUGUUCUGCUCCUGCAUUUGCAUCAGGCAGAAAUGUUUUAGAUAAAAUCAACAAGCAUUGUAUAAAAAAAAACAACAACACGUUGAUCCCACUGUUUGUAGUUUUCAGAUGUACAGCGAGCCGUCACAUGUUUAACACUGACGAAACGGAAAUCCACAACCACGUCUUCUCACUGCAGGUUCAGUAAAUGCUCAAUUAUCUUAAACUUUAUCAUCAGAUUCAGAACAGAUGACAAAAAGAAACAAGAUGCAGAGAGCAAGUUGUGUGAGGGGAGUCAAUGUGCGUCCGUGUGUGUGUCCUCUGUGUGUGUGUGUGUGUGUGUGUGUGUGUGUAACCUUUUACUUCACACUCUUAUUCCCCUCUUACCAUGUGUGCUCUCUUGGCUCUCUACUUGUUAAAAUUAAUUUCAUGUUUAAUCUCAUUCUGUCUUUUUUUGUCAUGAAUUUUCUCUUUUUUUGUUCAAAUGUAUCAUAACAUUUACAGCCUGUAUGAAAAACCUAGAUAAACUGAUUAAAAAAAUGAACCCUAAUCAUAAAUAUACCCCAAAAAUGACUGAAUGUGUCGACAGUAAAUUCACCCAAUUUGCUCUCACUAUGGAUGGAUGGACAGUUUUAUUGUAUGCUGUUACCUGUGUGUGUUUUGCUCAAGAACGUGUUAUAUGUUUCAGUAUUAAUGAUGAUUUAUUCAUUUUUAUACAGCAGCUUUAUAAUAAAAACAGUGUGAAACCCUCUGCCAUGUGUCCUUAUUGAUUUUGCAUGUGCAACACUUGAAGUAUGAUGUUUUUGAAAAGUGUAAUCAGUGUGUACCUGUGUGACGUUUGUUGUCAAAUAACAAUUGAAAUAAACAUUAUUAAAAGCC
Non-coding RNA from Epinephelus lanceolatus (giant grouper), 2960 nucleotides. Lineage: Eukaryota; Metazoa; Chordata; Actinopteri; Perciformes; Serranidae. The record is from RefSeq and is a predicted model, not a curated record.